GGAGGAUCCAAGCGUUAUCCGGAAUCAUUGGGUUUAAAGGGUCCGUAGGCGGGUUUAUAAGUCAGUGGUGAAAGCCCAUCGCUCAACGAUGGAACGGCCAUUGAUACUGUAGAUCUUGAAUUAUUAGGAAGUAACUAGAAUAUGUAGUGUAGCGGUGAAAUGCUUAGAGAUUACAUGGAAUACCAAGUGCGAAGGCAGGUUACUACUAAUGGAUUGACGCUGAUGGACGAAAGCGUGGGUAGCGAACAGGAUUAGAUACCCUGGUAGUCCACGCCGUAAACGAUGGAUACUAGCUGUUCGGAGCAAUCUGAGUGGCUAAGCGAAAGUGAUAAGUAUCCCACCUGGGGAGUACGUUCGCAAGAAUG
This 365-nucleotide ribosomal RNA is filed under the name uncultured bacterium. RNAcentral describes it as "bacterial SSU rRNA". It matches the Rfam family "Bacterial small subunit ribosomal RNA", at positions 527 to 896 of the family's 1533-position model. The record is from RNAcentral.